This 68-nucleotide transfer RNA is filed under the name Trigonopterus tounensis. Its description in RNAcentral is "tRNA-Ser". Lineage: Eukaryota; Metazoa; Arthropoda; Insecta; Coleoptera; Curculionidae. The record is from RNAcentral.
GAACUAAGUAAGCCCUAAGUAAAGCUUCUAACUUUAACUUAAAGCAGUGAAAUCCUGUUUUUAGUUCC